AAAGGUUUGACCGGACGCCCCAGAGCCCCCGCCUUAGCCAGAGCAGGGACUUCCCCUAUGCUGGCCUCUGUUUCCCCAUCUGUCAAAUGGGGGUCUUAAGAGCCCUUCGCUCCAUCCCUGGCACCAUUAGGUCUAGAGCGAGGCGGCUGCCAUCUUUACUGAUUCCAGAGAAGGAGACGGGGCUCGGUGCUGCCCGGCCCUGCCUGCCGUUGGCUCUUGAGGAGUUUAUAUUCUGGGGGGGUGGGGGGGGGGUUCAGAGCUUCAGGGGUGCCUCAGCUGAGGAGCCUCAGUCUCAGCAAGUUCGCCUCUGCGGGCUGCAGGACAGGAGCCCCAUGGAUCUGGGGGGCCCCGGCCGGAGGCUGACCAUGGUUUGGGGCUCCAUCACUGCUGGGAGGCAGAUGCCCGGCCGCCAGCAUCCCCAGGGCUUUGCCACCUUCUGUACCCCAGGGGGCUCCACAGAUGUUGCCUGAGCAGCUGGCUAAAGCCGCCGGGGCUCCCCGAAGGACGGAGCCAGGCAGAGGCUGCUGCUUUGGCCUCCCCUUCCAGAAGGAAGCGUCCCCGCAGCGUCGGGAGCCCCGGCGUGGAGGGAGGGUGUGCCCGGCCGGGAGGGCAGUGCCAGCUCAUCGCGUGGGCACGGCUGCUGGGCGAGAGCCAGCUGGGGGGUCUGUGCAGGAAGGAAGCUGGGGGUUGGGGGAGGCCCGGUCGGUGACCCCGGCGUGCACAGCCACGAGUCUGGGAGGUGAGGCUGGGGCAGCGGGCGGCCAGAGUCAGGCCAUCCCAGCCGAGGCCGGGCCGGGCCUCCCAGAGCCGCCUCCUCGGUCCGUCCCUCGCCCCGUCCCGGCCCUGUCCGCCACCCUUCCUCGGCCUCAGCCUGAGGCCACCCUGGCCUCCCCCGGGGGGGGGGCUGCGGGGAGGGGGGAGGGCGGGGGAGGGCGUCCAGCCUCAGGGCGGCUCUCGCCCCCAGCUGGAGAACGCCCUCCUGGACGCCUACGACCUGGCUUACGAGCGGGCCCUGCGGAACGCCUCGGAGCCCUGGAGGCAGAAGCUGGGCGCCGUCCCGACACGGUGAGCCCUGGGGGGCCCUUUGGCCCACAAGGCAGGGAGGGGGGCGCCCCGCUUUGGCUGCUGGGCCGCCCCUCACCCGGCCUGUCCUUUAGAUGGGCUGCUGCGGGAAGAGCUCGCCUUUGGGCCGGCGGGGCGCCGAGGAGCAGCACCUGUGCCAGGGCGCCGGGCAGAGGGAGGAUUGCCUCCAGGAGAUCAGAAGCUUUGCGAGGAAGCAUCUGGGCGCAGCCACCCUCCUGUUCAUCCUCACCCUGGCUUUCACGGUACCCACCCUGGCUCCCCUCCCCGGGUCAGAGUUGGGGGGCUCGGGACCCGAAGACGGCUGCAGCCCCGUGACCCCACUGCCCCGAGGCAGAGAGAGCCCGGGCUGACCGGGCUCCGAGGUGGCCAGGCCCAAUGCCUGCACGUUACAGAGGGGGAAACUGAGGCUCCAGGAAGACACGUGACUCGCCCCAAGCCGCAGAGGGAAUGAGGUCCUCGGGGUGCAUCAGAAAACCUGGCCCCGCCGCCGACUCUGCGUGAGAGCUUGAGUCGCCUCAGUUUCCCUAUCUGGAAAACGAAGGCAGGGUUGGCCCCCAGCCCCGACUCCUCCGAGGGCCGGGGCUGCCUCCCUUCCCCCUCUCCCUCCCUUCCUCCCAAGGGCCCCCCAGGGCUCCGGAGGGUGGGGGCGGAAAGCAGCCCGCGGGCAAGCCAGACCCCUCACUCUCUGCCCGCCUCCUCCCUUAGGUUCAUGGGAUGUCCCUCACCUCCUUCCUCUGGCUGAGCAUCCAUUACAGCAGGAACCUGGACCGGAAAGGCCGCUACAGCCUGACCGCCCGCUAGGACCCCCCUCAGAGGGGCCCUGCAGGGCAUCGGCAGCCCUCAGGCCCCGCGUGACCCGCACACGCCCGCAGAGCCUCGGCGUCCUCAUCUGUCAAAAAGAGCGCGGGCAUCGCCACUGUUGGGGAAAAGCGCCCCGAAUCCGUGGCUCAGGCCCGGCUCCCCUCCCUUUCCCCCAGCUCCAGACGGCACAGGCCAGAGCAGGAUGGGGGGCCUUUACUCAGGCCCCCCCCAUGUCAGGGGGUCCUUGGAACUUCGUCUUUGUACACUUUCCCUUAUCCUCUUGUCACUCUUACUGGCCCUGAAAAGCCUGAUGGGGAGGCUGGGGCAGAGGAGCCCGGGGCCCCGACUUCUCAAGCACAGGGAGCCCAGGGCACGCCCCUUCCCUCCUCUUCCUCAUCCACCCGGGGAGAAGAGGAAGGCCCGAACCGGCCCGAGAAGACAUUCCUUGUCUCCCCUUUUACCAAGGAGGGGACAGUCGCCCAGCACGCAGCCUCUCUUAACCCCUACUUCCGGCUUAGAAGUCGCUUAGUCCCGAGGCCGAGGAGCCGGAGGGGUUCAUCCGGGGUCCCCCACAAGGCUGCGUCUGAGCCCCCAUCUUCCUGCCUUUAUCCACGUCCCCAAUUCAGCCAAGCAGGGAGCCAGAGAGCCAGAGAGAGCGCCAUAAAAGUGACGAAUAAAUACAUACAAAGCGGCA
RNAcentral lists this long non-coding RNA (2578 nucleotides) under Monodelphis domestica (gray short-tailed opossum). RNAcentral describes it as "lncRNA (ENSMODG00000035010.2)". The record is from RNAcentral. Lineage: Eukaryota; Metazoa; Chordata; Mammalia; Didelphimorphia; Didelphidae.